UUCAGAGAUCCCAGGCAGAAGGAGUGCAACGUCUCAGAUCUUGGGUGUCGAGCUCUUCUUCUCCUUUUCUAACUCGGCCAGAUUGCACAUCUUCCUGUGUCGCAGUUGAUAGCCACUAAUAGACUCUGGCUGGAACACGACAUUUAUCUCCUUCUCAUUUGUACCACACAAAUGAAGUUACAAUAAUGGCACUUUGUUGGCACUGAGGAAGACCAGUUCCAAAGUGUCCCACUUUUUCUCGCUAUUCAGCAUUCAGAGUUGAUGCAAAAUAACAAAUACUCUGACCCAGUUUGAGAACACAGCCUGGUCAUGUAGCAAAGAGGAAUGCUUUCGUCAUGGGGUCCCCUAUACUUCCUUCAUGGACCUGCUAAGUCUCAGUGCCUGAAGUGCCCAUCAAGGGUGAAGCAAGAGAAGACCGACAGAGCUACAGAUCUUGUUGUGACAGUUCUCUGUGUGGCCCAGGAGAAGGUCAUGGGAAGGAGGCUAGGCCAGAAUUGUGAUGACCCUUUGUAAGAGUCAGCAUCCUAUAAUGAUGGGAAUCCGGGAAGCUACAAAACCACCUCCUCGUGUGUCAAGAGACGUGAACUUUGAGCCAGAAAAACCUGAGUUUGAGUUCUGACUUGGCACCUCCCCAGCUGUGUGACCUUGUUCCAAUACAUCCCCUUUUCUUUUGGAUCUCAUUUUUCCUGUCUGUAAAACAAAGGGCUCUUUGGAUGCCACUGAAGGAGCUGCUUCCUGUUAGUUCAUAUCAGGAUCUCCAAGGACCUGUGCCCCGAUCUGUGCAGAGGGGACAGUGAUGCCUGCUGGUUUGUCUCCUAGGGUUGUUGGGAGAUGUGUGGACACAGGAGGGGCCUGGCAGAUUUUCUUAGUUGAAAUGUGUUGGGCUUGGGAGCUGCUUUCUAGAUUUUCAGCAAUGUAAUCAUUAAC
This 927-nucleotide long non-coding RNA is filed under the name Marmota monax (woodchuck). Lineage: Eukaryota; Metazoa; Chordata; Mammalia; Rodentia; Sciuridae. The record is from RNAcentral.